CAUUAGAUGGCUGAACCGCAAGCCCUGGUCUCUUAAACCAUUAUAUAGUAAAUUAGCACUUACUUCUAAUGA
RNAcentral lists this transfer RNA (72 nucleotides) under Pachycephus cruentatus. RNAcentral describes it as "tRNA-Lys". Lineage: Eukaryota; Metazoa; Arthropoda; Insecta; Hymenoptera; Cephidae. The record is from RNAcentral.